CGCGGGGUGGAGCAGUCUGGUAGCUCGUCGGGCUCAUAACCCGGAGGUCGGUGGUUCAAAUCCACCCCCCGCUACCA
RNAcentral lists this transfer RNA (77 nucleotides) under Pseudomonadota bacterium. Its description in RNAcentral is "Proteobacteria bacterium (marine sediment metagenome) tRNA-Met". It matches the Rfam family "tRNA". Rfam says of the family: Transfer RNA (tRNA) molecules are approximately 80 nucleotides in length. Their secondary structure includes four short double-helical elements and three loops (D, anti-codon, and T loops). Further hydrogen bonds mediate the characteristic L-shaped molecular structure. tRNAs have two regions of fundamental functional importance: the anti-codon, which is responsible for specific mRNA codon recognition, and the 3' end, to which the tRNAs corresponding amino acid is attached (by aminoacyl-tRNA synthetases). tRNAs cope with the degeneracy of the genetic code in two manners: having more than one tRNA (with a specific anti-codon) for a particular amino acid; and 'wobble' base-pairing, i.e. permitting non-standard base-pairing at the 3rd anti-codon position. The record is from RNAcentral. Lineage: Bacteria; Pseudomonadati; Pseudomonadota. RNAcentral also lists the same sequence under 2 other names.